AUUUCAUUUGAAAUGUGAAUGUAACAAUUUUUAAAGUAGAGAAGGUGUAGAGCACAGCAGGAAAUAUCCUGCUCAAAAUCUGGAGCAACCCGACUGGAGGAACCCCACUGGACCUUACAGAAGAUCACAUCUAAAUCCUUCCAUUGUUCUUGUUUUCCUGUAGUCAGUCACUCAGUUCAGCCUAUUGCAGUCCACUGCUGGACAUAGGCCUCCCAAGUUCGAGCCAGAUAUCCCAUCUCGGUUUUCCGCAAUCCUCAUCCAGCCUACACCGGCCAUUUUACGUAGAUCGUCAGUCCAGCAGCGGGCCGGAGGACGUACCACACUACGUUUGCCAAGAUGCGGUCUUCACUCCAGGACACAUCUACUCCAACGGCCAUCCAUUUAUAGUA
Molecule: unclassified non-coding RNA, 389 nt
Filed under: Melitaea cinxia (Glanville fritillary)
Lineage: Eukaryota; Metazoa; Arthropoda; Insecta; Lepidoptera; Nymphalidae
Description: misc RNA ENSMCXG00005001899.1
Source: RNAcentral